Molecule: long non-coding RNA, 473 nt
Filed under: Anser brachyrhynchus (Pink-footed goose)
Lineage: Eukaryota; Metazoa; Chordata; Aves; Anseriformes; Anatidae
Description: lncRNA (ENSABRG00000014006.1)
Source: RNAcentral
GUAUGUUUUCUGGAUGUCCUAGGUGCUGAGCCUUUGAAGCUAUUAGCACAAAAAUCCCAGACAACCUUUUUCAACUUACAUCAGAUAGAUAGUAGAUCAGUCUUUUAAUUCAUGUACAGCUGAGAGAAGAUAGAAUAGUGCUGCAAGGAACAUAAUGACAAUGGCUGCAUACUGCUACGUCAACCAAGAAAAGUUGGAUUGAGUCUGCUGUAGUGAUGGAAACCACAAUGCUGCCCUCUGAGGAUGCUCUGGGAAGUCCUUGAGGCUGCAGUCUCCUCUCUGUGUUUGCUACUGGUUCUUGUUACACUUCUGUCAGGUGUUACACUGAAGAUCUGCUGAAGUGGAGGCUUAAGCAGGCCAAGGAGGUUGGAACCUCACAGCCUAUGAGAUGUGCAGCCAGGAAGCCAAAGAUUCUAAAAGUAAGUAUGUUUUUGCCUUAAGCUAUAAGCCGUUUUCUGUUAUGCAGAUCUAGC